RNAcentral lists this unclassified non-coding RNA (391 nucleotides) under soil metagenome. RNAcentral describes it as "partial contains 5.8S ribosomal RNA, internal transcribed spacer 2, and large subunit ribosomal RNA". The stretch from base 1 to 122 matches the Rfam family "5.8S ribosomal RNA", at positions 35 to 154 of the family's 154-position model. The record is from RNAcentral.
GAUGAAGAACGCAGCGAAAUGCGAUAAGUAGUGUGAAUUGCAGAAUCCCGUGAACCAUCGAGUCUUUGAACGCAAGUUGCGCCCGAAGCCAUUAGGCCGAGGGCACGCCUGCCUGGGCGUCACACGUCGUUGCCCCCCCAUCUACUCCUUCGGGAUUGCGGGGGGCGGAUGAUGGCCUCCCGUGCGCCUCGUCGCGCGGUUGGCAUAAAUGCCAAGUCCUCGGCGACACACGCCACGACAAUCGGUGGUUGCGAAACCUCGGUUGCCCGUCGUGUGCGGUCGUCGCGCAUCGAGGGCUCGAAAAAAUUGCCGGGCUCCGGCUCGGCUUUCAACGCGACCCCAGGUCAGGCGGGGUUACCCGCUGAAUUUAAGCAUAUCAAUAAGCGGAGGA